UACUCCCCAGGCGGAGUGCUUAAUGCGUUAUGCAGCACUAAGGGGCGGAAACCCCCUAACACUUAGCACUCAUCGUUUACGGCGUGGACUACCAGGGUAUCUAAUCCUGUUCGCUCCCCACGCUUUCGCUCCUCAGCGUCAGUUACAGACCAGAGAGUCGCCUUCGCCACUGGUGUUCCUCCACAUCUCUACGCAUUUCACCGCUACACGUGGAAUUCCACUCUCCUCUUCUGCACUCAAGUUUCCCAGUUUCCAAUGACCCUCCCCGGUUGAGCCGGGGGCUUUCACAUCAGACUUAAGAAACCGCCUGCGAGCCCUUUACGCCCAAUAAUUCCGGACAACGCUUGCCACCUACGUAUUACCGCGGCUGCUGGCACGUAGUUAGCCGUGGCUUUCUGGUUAGGUACCGUCAAGGUGCGAGCAGUUACUCUCGCACUUGUUCUUCCCUAACAACAGAGCUUUACGAUCCGAAAACCUUCAUCACUCACGCGGCGUUGCUCCGUCAGACUUUCGUCCAUUGCGGAAGAUUCCCUACUGCUGCCUCCCGUAGAGUCUGGGCCGUGUCUCAGUCCCAGUGUGGCCGAUCACCCUCUCAGGUCGGCUACGCAUCGUCGCCUUGGUGAGCCAUUACCCCACCAACUAGCUAAUGCGCCGCGGGUCCAUCUGUAAGUGACAGCCGAAACCGUCUUUCAUCCUUGAACCAUGCGGUUCAAGGGACUAUCCGGUAUUAGCUCCGGUUUYCCGGUGGUUAUCCCAGUCUUACAGGCAGGUUACCCACGUGUUACU
Molecule: ribosomal RNA, 786 nt
Filed under: Bacillus pumilus
Lineage: Bacteria; Bacillati; Bacillota; Bacilli; Caryophanales; Bacillaceae
Description: partial 16S ribosomal RNA
Source: RNAcentral